AUUCCAGCUCCAAUAGCGUAUAUUAAAGUUGUUGCGGUUAAAAAGCUCGUAGUUGGAUUUCUGCCGAGGAUGACCGGUCCGCCCUGUGGGUGUGCAUCUGGCUCAGCCUUGGCAUCUUCCUGAAGAACGUAGCUGCACUUGACUGUGUGGUGCGGUAUUUAGGACAUUUACUUUGAGGAAAUUAGAGUGUUUCAAGCAAGCGCACGCUUUGAAUACAUUAGCAUGGAAUAAUAAGAUAGGACCUCGGUUCUAUUUUGUUGGUUUCUAGGGCUGAGGUAAUGAUUGAUAGGGAUAGUUGGGGGCAUUCGUAUUUAAACGACAGAGGUGAAAUUCUUGGACCGUUUGAAGACAAACUACUGCGAAAGCAUUUGCCAAGAAUGUUUUCAUCA
RNAcentral lists this ribosomal RNA (389 nucleotides) under Biecheleria sp. RNAcentral's name for it is "partial small subunit ribosomal RNA". It matches the Rfam family "Eukaryotic small subunit ribosomal RNA", at positions 582 to 975 of the family's 1831-position model. The record is from RNAcentral. Lineage: Eukaryota; Dinophyceae; Suessiales; Biecheleriaceae.